This 500-nucleotide ribosomal RNA is filed under the name uncultured bacterium. RNAcentral describes it as "partial 16S ribosomal RNA". It matches the Rfam family "Bacterial small subunit ribosomal RNA", at positions 30 to 523 of the family's 1533-position model. The record is from RNAcentral.
AUUGAACGCUGGCGGCAUGCCUUACACAUGCAAGUCGAACGGCAGCACGGGAGCAAUCCUGGUGGCGAGUGGCGAACGGGUGAGUAAUAUAUCGGAACGUGCCCAGUCGUGGGGGAUAACGUAGCGAAAGCUACGCUAAUACCACAUACGAGCUAUGGAUGAAAGCGGGGGAUCGCAAGACCUCGCGCGAUUGGAGCGGCCGAUAUCUGAUUAGGUAGUUGGUGAGGUAAAGGCUCACCAAGCCGACGAUCUGUAGCUGGUCUGAGAGGACGACCAGCCACACUGGGACUGAGACACGGCCCAGACUCCUACGGGAGGCAGCAGUGGGGAAUUUUGGACAAUGGGCGCAAGCCUGAUCCAGCAAUGCCGCGUGCAGGAUGAAGGCCUUCGGGUUGUAAACUGCUUUUGUACGGAACGAAACGGUGAGCUCUAAUACAGUUUGCUAAUGACGGUACCGUAAGAAUAAGCACCGGCUAACUACGUGCCAGCCGCCGCCGUAA